Molecule: long non-coding RNA, 874 nt
Organism: Felis catus (domestic cat)
Lineage: Eukaryota; Metazoa; Chordata; Mammalia; Carnivora; Felidae
Exons: 4
Source: RefSeq, a predicted model, not a curated record
CGUUGAGACACCUGCCAGGCAACAGCGUGCACGGGCAGAGCCAGGAGGCCACCGGCACCUGCUGACAUAUCAUGCUGCCUCUCAGGACACGGACGAAAGAAGAGAGGAAGGAAACCAGGAUCUUAAAAGACAAAAGUACAUCAGGGUUUACGCUGAAGGGAUACUUGCAUAACAUGUUUUGGAUGAAAGGCCUGGAGAAUGUAGCCCCAGCUAACAGGGCAGGAAAGGAGACCAGUGCUCUUUUGCGUUAAGAAGCACCAACGUAUUGGGGGCACCUGGGUGACUCAGUCCGUGAAGUGUCCAACUGCAGCUCAGGUCAUGGUCUUACAGUUCAGACACCAAGAAUGCUUGUGUGCAGAGGGAAGAUCUUGCAAGGGCACACUGGAGGAGACAGCCAUCUACAAACCAGAGAGAGAGGCCUCAGGAGGCACGAAACCUGCCGACCCCUGCUCUGUGACAUCCAGCCUCCAGAAUUGUCCCUGAGCAACGGGAUGUGACGAGCCCCUGUUAUCCUGGACCUCCCCACUAGUCUCCCAUCUCCAGAACAAUCCGCGUUCCAGCUUCCUUCCCCGGAAACCACCCAGAUUCAGAGAAGAGCUAGGAUUCCCCCGGCACCGGUGAGGAUCGUUUCGGCUGCUGGCGGAGGAGACGAGGGGUAAGACCGGACGGCCAACCUGUGCGUCAGCCUCUCUCGCCAACGGGGGUCCCACCAGCUUCCCGGGCCCUUUGUGCCACUGGGCGCCAGAAAGAGCUGGCGUCACCGCAAAGCCCGGCCGUGACUCAUCCACCUCCCCAACUUCGCUCUUAAAAUGCGCUCUCUGGACUUUUCCAGGAAAGCCUGAGUGGCUCAUUGCAGACACCCAUCAUUAACGUG